This is a transfer RNA of 82 nucleotides. It matches the Rfam family "tRNA". From Rfam's summary of the family: Transfer RNA (tRNA) molecules are approximately 80 nucleotides in length. Their secondary structure includes four short double-helical elements and three loops (D, anti-codon, and T loops). The record is from Rfam.
GUGUCAUUGCCCGAGUGGUUUAAGGGGCUAGUUUUAGGCACUAGUGUAGUAAUACGCGUGGGUUCGAACCCCACAUGACACA